Molecule: ribosomal RNA, 386 nt
Filed under: uncultured eukaryote
Lineage: Eukaryota
Description: partial 18S ribosomal RNA
Rfam family: Eukaryotic small subunit ribosomal RNA
Source: RNAcentral
CAAGAGCGUAUAUUAAAGUUGUUGCAGUUAAAAAGCUCGUAGUUGGAUUUCUGGUAUAAUGCGCCUGGCCCGCUCCGUUUCGGAGUGAGUGCCGGUGCGCGUUUGCCAUCCUUCUAGAAAACGUUUCUACCCUUCGCCGGGCCGGAUUCGCGAUCUAGAUCUUUUACUUUGAAAAAAUUAGAGUGUUUAAAGCAGGCUUUUGCUAUGAAUACAUUAGCAUGGAAUAAUAAUCUAGGACUUCGGUUCUAUUUUGUUGGUUUCUAGUACUGAAGUAAUGAUUGAUAGGGAUAGUUGGGGGUGCUAGUAUUGACCGGCCAGAGGUGAAAUUCUUGGAUUCGGUCAAGACUAACUUAUGCGAAAGCAUUCACCAAGGAUGUCUUCUUUAA